GGAGUGAAUAUGCGUUCGACUGUUGUCCGGGCAGCACGACGCGAGCUUGGUUGAUGCAGCAACCAUCGGACAGCGGAAUGCAGCUCGAGCAGCAAGCGUGGACGGAGGUACACUUGGGAUGGUCAUGGCGGUACAACGGCUACAGCCAGCUCGGCAUGGCUGCUCGGCGUGCUCAAACAUAGCUCGGCCAUAGUAGCAGACCGGUGCUGGCGAACAUGGUUUUCAGCGUCCUGUGACCGCCAGCCUCAACUUCACUAACGAGACCAUCCAAAUCAGUCAAAAUCAUGCCACGUCUCAGUAAAACCACCCAAAGCUGUAUCAGGGACUAAAGUUAUCUGGUUUGAAAAGUUGAGGGACUAAGUUUUGCUGGUUUUAAAGUUAAGGGACCAUUUCUAUACUUUCGAUAUAAUUGAGGGACGAAAAAUAUACUUAUCCCUUAUCUAAAAGGAAUAUACUCAGUGCUAGCAUAAUUUGAAAAGGCCAGUGUCAUGCUCUGUAGCCGAUCUUCAGUUCACAUGUGCCUAUUCGACAUCAACUUGCUUUCUGUAUAUGUCUUGCCAUGUAUCUUGGGUGCUUAUAUAAAGUUUGUAUGUAAUUACUUUAUGAAGCUUGACAGAUCAUUCGGAAGAAUAAUGCUGCAAAACAAUUAUUAGUCAUGACUACUUUUGUAUUUUAAGCUGUACCGUUCAUAACAUAUCAUUUGGAAGGAGGGAAUACAUGUCUCAGUUGACUUGAUUGAUUUGUUUGUCAGAUAAAUAGGACCCAGAAGAGAUGAGUGCUCCAUCUGGCUCUAAGGGCUCCAAGAGAUGAAGCCAUAAACAGUGACGGAGUGAACGUGGUCCCUGAAGUUUGGGCCGUUAAAGAUAAAAUCAAGCAGUUUUUAGAAACUUUUAGGAGUGGCUUAUGGGUUGGGGGGAAACCAUUGACAAAUGUGGUCUCAGUUGGAAUUGGUGCUAGCUUCUUUGGACCUCUGUUUGUGCAUGCAACUCUCCAGACUGACCUGGAAGCAGCAGAGUCCGCAAAAGGACGACAACUGUGAUUGAAUUCUUUCAUUAUUGGAGUCUUUCAUCUGUAUAUAUAACUGUAUUGAUGCAAGGUGGGAGAAGAAGCAGGUGACUGCCCUUUAUUGUGUUUUGUUAUGGUCCUCUCCUAUUUAAUGGUAGAUAUGAUGUAUAGGUUGAAGCAUGUAAUGUUCCUUUCAGUGCAUAUUUGUGCUUUACGACGUUUGAUGCACACAAAGUUGAACCUCUUAUUCCAUGUAAUACUUUACCAAAGAAGAAUUUAUUAACAUUAGUGUUUUUGCUCUUUUCAGAUUUUAGCCUGGGUAUAUAAACAUACAUGCCACACAUUGUAUUCAAUUUUCAGUGCAAGAUUAAACUAGGGGAUUAAUCAUUAUGGAAGGAAAAUGAUUGAAUAGUAAAAUGUAUAGAUUUAGUAUCAUAUCAUUUAUUUGUGAUUGCAUGAUCUUAAAUCUUAAUUGCGCAUCUCUGAAAAUAUUUUAGGCUCUUGCUCUUGGAAGACUGAUGUGAUGUUGCUUUAUAAAUAAAUGACAUGCUAACUUACCGGUUUGAUUUAGGUGUAUUUAGGUGUGUAGGCAGAGGCGGAAAAAAUAUAUCAUAAUCUCAGGUUUAGGCGUGCACAUGGCCACUGAUAACAAAAUAAGUAGGCAGAGGUGCAGUAUUGUGACUUCAGCAAGAGAAAGAGAAGUACAGUUAAUUGUUCGCAUUUUAAGCUACACUUGAACCUUGUCCUAAUAACUAGAGCUGUUGUGAUGUUGCUCUAUUAUAAGUGCCUUGCUUAAAUGCUUGGUUAGAUCAAGUGUAUAACAAAGCGAAGGCUAACUGAACCAUGCUAGAAAUAACAUUCAUGUGUUAGUCUUUUCCUCUCGCCUCUGGUUGUCUUCUUCCUCAUGGCGGUCCACGCAGCGCUCUCCUUGGGAUUAGAUUUCUCCCCGGGGAUGAAGUUGGCGUCUGAGAUCCAACGCACCUUCA
Aegilops tauschii subsp. strangulata is the source of this 1991-nucleotide non-coding RNA. Lineage: Eukaryota; Viridiplantae; Streptophyta; Magnoliopsida; Poales; Poaceae. The record is from RefSeq and is a predicted model, not a curated record.